ACUCCUACGGGAGGCAGCAGUGGGGAAUAUUGCACAAUGGGCGCAAGCCUGAUGCAGCCAUGCCGCGUGUGUGAAGAAGGCCUUCGGGUUGUAAAGCACUUUCAGUCGUGAGGAAGGUAGUGUAGUUAAUAGCUGCAGUAUUUGACGUUAGCGACAGAAGAAGCACCGGCUAACUCCGUGCCAGCAGCCGCGGUAAUACGGAGGGUGCGAGCGUUAAUCGGAAUUACUGGGCGUAAAGCGCAUGCAGGUGGUUGUUAAGUCAGAUGUGAAAGCCCGGGGCUCAACCUCGGAAUAGCAUUUGAAACUGGCAGACUAGAGUACUGUAGAGGGGGUAGAAUUUCAGGUGUAGCGGUG
This 354-nucleotide ribosomal RNA is filed under the name uncultured bacterium. RNAcentral describes it as "bacterial SSU rRNA". It matches the Rfam family "Bacterial small subunit ribosomal RNA", at positions 335 to 683 of the family's 1533-position model. The record is from RNAcentral.